This 253-nucleotide ribosomal RNA is filed under the name uncultured prokaryote. Its description in RNAcentral is "partial 16S ribosomal RNA". It matches the Rfam family "Bacterial small subunit ribosomal RNA", at positions 524 to 776 of the family's 1533-position model. The record is from RNAcentral.
GACGAGGGAUCCAAGCGUUGUUCGGAAUCAUUGGGCGUAAAGCGGGUGCAUGUGGCUUUGUAAGUCAGGUGUGAAAUCCCAGGGCUCAACCCUGGAAGUGCAUUUGAUACUGCGAAGCUUGAGUGCUAGAGAGGUAAGUAGAAUACCUGGUGUAGUGGUGAAAUACGUAGAUAUCAGGUGGAAUACCGGAGGCGAAGGCGGCUUACUGGCUAGACACUGACACUCAGACCCGAAAGCGUGGGGAUCAAACAGG